GAGGGGUAGUUACUUUCGGGUAAUGAGACCGGCGCACGGGUGCGUAACGCGUAUGCAAUCUACCUUUUACAGGGGAAUAGCCCAGAGAAAUUUGGAUUAAUGCCCCAUAGUAUGUAUGAAUCGCAUGGUUUAUACAUUAAAGUUCCAACGGUAAAAGAUGAGCAUGCGUCCCAUUAGUUAGUUGGUAAGGUAACGGCUUACCAAGACGAUGAUGGGUAGGGGUCCUGAGAGGGAGAUCCCCCACACUGGUACUGAGACACGGACCAGACUCCUACGGGAGGCAGCAGUGAGGAAUAUUGGACAAUGGGCGCAAGCCUGAUCCAGCCAUGCCGCGUGCAGGAAGAAGCAUCUAUGGUGUGUAAACUGCUUUUGUACAGGAAGAAACACUCCCUCGUGAGGGAGCUUGACGGUACUGUAAGAAUAAGGAUCGGCUAACUCCGUGCCAGCAGCCGCGGUAAUACGGAGGAUCCAAGCGUUAUCCGGAAUCAUUGGGUUUAAAGGGUCCGUAGGCGGUUUGAUAAGUCAGUGGUGAAAGCCCAUCGCUCAACGAUGGAACGGCCAUUGAUACUGUCAGACUUGAAUUACUAGGAAGUAACUAGAAUAUGUAGUGUAGCGGUGAAAUGCUUAGAUAUUACAUGGAAUACCAAUUGCGAAGGCAGGUUACUACUAGUGGAUUGACGCUGAUGGACGAAAGCGUGGGGAGCGAACAGGAUUAGAUACCCUGGUAGUCCACGCCGUAAACGAUGGAUACUAGCUGUUGGGCGCAAGUUCAGUGGCUAAGCGA
This 784-nucleotide ribosomal RNA is filed under the name uncultured Bacteroidota bacterium. RNAcentral describes it as "bacterial SSU rRNA". It matches the Rfam family "Bacterial small subunit ribosomal RNA", at positions 64 to 854 of the family's 1533-position model. Lineage: Bacteria; Pseudomonadati; Bacteroidota. The record is from RNAcentral.